AUUGAACGCUGGCGGCAGGCCUAACACAUGCAAGUCGAACGGUAACAGGAAGCAGCUUGCUGCUUUGCUGACGAGUGGCGGACGGGUGAGUAAUGUCUGGGAAACUGCCUGAUGGAGGGGGAUAACUACUGGAAACGGUAGCUAAUACCGCAUAACGUCGCAAGACCAAAGAGGGGGACCUUAGGGCCUCUUGCCAUCGGAUGUGCCCAGAUGGGAUUAGCUAGUAGGUGGGGUAACGGCUCACCUAGGCGACGAUCCCUAGCUGGUCUGAGAGGAGGACCAGCCACACUGGAACUGAGACACGGUCCAGACUCCUACGGGAGGCAGCAGUGGGGAAUAUUGCACAAUGGGCGCAAGCCUGAUGCAGCCAUGCCGCGUGUAUGAAGAAGGCCUUCGGGUUGUAAAGUACUUUCAGCGGGGAGGAAGGGAGUAAAGUUAAUACCUUUGCUCAUUGACGUUACCCGCAGAAGAAGCACCGGCUAACUCCGUG
RNAcentral lists this ribosomal RNA (490 nucleotides) under uncultured bacterium. Its description in RNAcentral is "partial 16S ribosomal RNA". It matches the Rfam family "Bacterial small subunit ribosomal RNA", at positions 30 to 507 of the family's 1533-position model. The record is from RNAcentral.